UGGCCCCAGAUAAGGGAGGAUGAGGAUCCACCAAAGUGAAUGUAGCCCUUUACACCUCUCAGUUCUAAAUUGUCUUCUCCCUGCAUUCAUCCCCAGGAGGUGUUUUCAUUAAUGAGAAUCUCCUGAUGAGAUUGGAGCAUUUAACACCUAAUCAAAGAAGUGCUGAUUUCUUUCAGACUAGGUGCUCUGCAGUAGUACAUAAGGGCUACCUUUGCCUUAAAAUUGGCAUGACUCCUCAAGGUGCUGGAGAGAAGACUUGUCAAGCUAACUGCUGGUAAAGUGAAGACAUAUUGGUAACAGUGAAAAUAGCAAUGGUAAAGAGGAGAUGAGAUCAGCUACCAACUAUGACUAAGUCUUGUAGCUGUCAAGAGAUAAAAAUAGAGUAAUGUGUACAUGCCUGAAGUAAAAAUAAGGUACCAGUGCAUGUGACAAAGGUGAGUUGGUUCCACUGACUGCUUUUCUCCAGGGUUAUCCUAUGUUAUAAGUUGAUGCAGAUGGUUAUUGAGCAGAUUGGGGCCAUUCAGCAACACCUAGUAGCAAUAUCUAGCAACAUCUAGCAUCUGUUCACCUAGCAAUGUCAGAAUAAGGGGGCAGUUGCCUCUAAAAGCCACUUACAUACUAAUCCACUCAACUGUUUUCUGCUUGUACAUCUGGGGAUGAGGCAGGAUCAGACUCCAGCCAUGACAUCACAUAAUCCUCCUUCUGUAGUGACACCCUUGCAUAAUAUAGAAGAAUAUUUGCAGUGUAAGGGUCAUAUGUCACAGCAGCACAGGGAGUCACAAGCUGCAUGACUGUCAAGGAGUUUUUAAACCAGCGUGACUGACAUGGAGCCUUACACAUAUCUGUCAUAUGGCCUUGUAAGACAUUUGGAAAGCCCUAAGCAAGGCUGUUCCCAGAUGUAAGGUCACCGUCACACAACAAUAGUGUCCCUGUGAGGUGCUCCAGGAGACAGUCAUCACAUUUGACCAUUAGAUUAUCAAAGUGGAUGUUGUAACAACAUAGUGUUGAGUUUGAAAGGAAAUUGUUUUCAUAUCUGAGCCAAGAAAAAUUUUCCAGUAACAGCAGGAAGAUUCAACUUGGAUGCCUACAAAGUAUUGCAAGUUAAUAAUGCUAGGCAGAGGGCCAGUGGAAAUAGAUGGUAUUUGUUUUUAAAAAAUAUAUUCAUCCUUUUCCCCUUACACUUUGCCUACUGUUUGUCUUUCUGGACUGCAAGUGCUUCAGAGCAAAGCUGUGUGCCUGAGAUAAGUCAUAUUACUUACUUAAUCAAUGCCCGCUAAUGAUAAAUAGGAAUCAUAUAAAACAUUAAUACCUUUUUACCCAUGUCUGCAUCUGGCUCUCAGUGAGGUACUGGACUUGUUGCUGCUACAUCUGACCAUAUGUUCUGAGUGUAAUCCCUUUAAUAUCGUCACAGCAGCAAUACACCUGGGACAUGAAAGCUCUUAGCAAAUAGCUGAUGUCAGGGCUGGAGGCAAGAGACAGAGAAACCAAGAAAGUCAAGAGAUAUGUGAAACUAAAGGGUUUGUUGUAAAAAUGGUAAAGAAUGGUGAAGAAACAAGAAAUCCACAUAGUCAAAGGUGAACCCUGGGCUGAGGAACAUGCAGAGACAGAGCAAAACUUUUCGAGCUUCGUAAUAGUGAGAUUCUACAACGCACAACAAGCAGCAGACAUAGUGAUGAGAUUCCCCUGUUGCCAGUUGGUCCAACAAGCCAACUCUUAAUCUUGGUUUUGUCCAAAUGACUGGCUGCUGUUGAGUCAUCUUGAUGGAUACAGCAGCAUCUGUUGCACUCUGGCAAGACCAGGGGCCAAUACAACAUUCUUCCCAGAAAACAGUAAUGAGAUAUGCACCUCUUACAUGUUCCUACAUAACGAUGAUGCAGCAGGACGCUGAUAUAUUUAAGAAGCCAUUGGAAACAAGCAGUGUUUUGCAAGCCUUUGCAUCUCACUGUAAUAAUAAAAAGUGAUCUGUCA
Molecule: long non-coding RNA, 1968 nt
Organism: Pseudopipra pipra
Lineage: Eukaryota; Metazoa; Chordata; Aves; Passeriformes; Pipridae
Exons: 3
Source: RefSeq, a predicted model, not a curated record